CAUGCUGCUUUUUGUUUUGAUGACGCAUGCGGCGGUGAGACACUGGUGGCUGCCGUUGCCAGAUUGAAAUCUCUAUCUGUCUGCAAUACAGCUCUCGGCCUCUAUGCAACUUCGGCGCUCUCACAUUUGCCAGGCAUAGACAGUAGAAGAAAGCACACGCAGCGAUUGACUGGUUGGGCAACCCUGGAUACAGGACUGUUAACGGGGUGUUUUUCGCCUGGAAGUCUCUAGAAAUCUGGCCGUUCACAGACACCAGAAUGAACGCGUUCACAGUAUCGUUCACCAGGCAGUAAUACAGAUGGUGAUGGUGUGAGCUACGCCACAGUGCAGCUGAUUGCAGGUCAGAGAGACACACAGCGGAGAGAGACACACAAACUAUACACACACACUCUCUAUUCCCCAAUCCGCUACCAGGACAAGAGUUGAAAGCAGUUCACAUGACCCUCUGUGCUGAGGUACUCACCUGAUUGGGGGAUGAUGAUGAUGAUGGUGGUGAUGAUAACUAUAAUAAGAGUGAUGAUGAUCAUGAUAAUCAAGAUGAUGAUUUAAUAAUGAAGGUGGUAGCAGAUGAUGAUGAUCAUGAUGUUGGUGAUGAUGAUGGUGGUGGUGAUGACUAUAAUGAUGAUGAUGUUGAUGAUGAUGAUGACUAUAAUGAUGGUGAUGAUGAUGAUGAUGACUAUAAUGAUGAUGAUGAUGGUGAUGAUGAUGAUGACUAUAAUAAGGAUGAUGAUGAUAAUCAAGAUGAUGAUUUAAUAGUAAUUAAAAGGAGGAAGGUGGUAGCAGAUGAUGAUGAUGAUGAUGUUUACUAUAAUAAUGAUGAUGACGAUCAUCUAACAUGAUUUCUAACAUACAAUAUACACACACAUAAAAAACAUAUAUUUUUGUUUUCCACGGAUAUACUGCAUGUGUGAAUAUAUUAUUUAAUAUAAUAUAAUAUAAAUAAUUAUUCAUUUAUGCAUAUGUGUGCAUUUGCUUCAUACCUGUUCACAAUCGACUUGCCAACAAAGCAACAAACAAACACACAAACACAAACACACACACACACACACACACACACGCACACACACUCUCUACAGUCUUAUUUAUAUUUGUGUGUACCUCUGCCAAUACACACACACUCACAGAUGCACAGCAGACAUACACACAUGCACACACACUCACUCCCUUAUACAAACCCAAAUCAGAGAAAGUUGGGACGGUAUGUUAAAUUAAAACUGAAAACAGUGAUUUGUAAAUUCUCUUUGACCUGUAUUACAUUGAAAACAAUACAACAGCACAU
Long non-coding RNA from Clupea harengus (Atlantic herring), 1279 nucleotides. The record is from Ensembl. NCBI's taxonomy places the organism in Eukaryota, Metazoa, Chordata, Actinopteri, Clupeiformes, Clupeidae.